UUACACAUGCAAGUCGAACGAUGAAGCCCAGCUUGCUGGGUGGAUUAGUGGCGAACGGGUGAGUAACACGUGAGUAACCUGCCCUUGACUCUGGGAUAAGCCUGGGAAACUAGGUCUAAUACCGGAUAUGAGCGUCCACCGCAUGGUGGGUGCUGGAAAGAUUUAUCGGUCAUGGAUGGACUCGCGGCCUAUCAGCUUGUUGGUGAGGUAAUGGCUCACCAAGGCGACGACGGGUAGCCGGCCUGAGAGGGUGACCGGCCACACUGGGACUGAGACACGGCCCAGACUCCUACGGGAGGCAGCAGUGGGGAAUAUUGCACAAUGGGCGAAAGCCUGAUGCAGCGACGCCGCGUGAGGGAUGACGGCCUUCGGGUUGUAAACCUCUUUCAGUAGGGAAGAAGCGAAAGUGACGGUACCUGCAGAAGAAGCACCGGCUAACUACGUGCCAGCAGCCGCGGUAAUACGUAGGGUGCGAGCGUUAUCCGGAAUUAUUGGGCGUAAAGAGCUCGUAGGCGGUUUGUCGCGUCUGUCGUGAAAGUCCGGGGCUUAACCCCGGAUCUGCGGUGGGUACGGGCAGACUAGAGUGCAGUAGGGGAGACUGGAAUUCCUGGUGUAGCGGUGGAAUGCGCAGAUAUCAGGAGGAACACCGAUGGCGAAGGCAGGUCUCUGGGCUGUAACUGACGCUGAGGAGCGAAAGCAUGGGGAGCGAACAGGAUUAGAUACCCUGGUAGUCCAUGCCGUAAACGUUGGGCACUAGGUGUGGGGACCAUUCCACGGUUUCCGCGCCGCAGCUAACGCAUUAAGUGCCCCGCCUGGGGAGUACGGCCGCAAGGCUAAAACUCAAAGGAAAUUGACGGGGGCCCGCACAAGCGGCGGAGCAUGCGGAUUAAUUUCGA
RNAcentral lists this ribosomal RNA (896 nucleotides) under Micrococcus sp. PH1. Its description in RNAcentral is "bacterial SSU rRNA". It matches the Rfam family "Bacterial small subunit ribosomal RNA", at positions 49 to 954 of the family's 1533-position model. Lineage: Bacteria; Bacillati; Actinomycetota; Actinomycetes; Micrococcales; Micrococcaceae. The record is from RNAcentral.